AGUAUUUAAGGGCAGGCUUGGGAUGUGCUCAGCUUUCUCCGUGUGGGGCACGACGAGGUGAGCACCAGGCACCCGACCCAGCGUGGGACCUGGCCCCAAGGUGCUCCUGCUGUGCUGGGGACCGCGGCUUUUCCUCGGGAAAAUCCCCGACGAGGCUGGAGGCCGGGCAGCGCGGGGGGCUCCAGGGCAACGGAGUCGGUUCAGGAAAAAGAUGAACAGUUUGGAUAGAAGGACAUGGAGCUGGCCACAAAAACUGAUAGCACGAGCUGCCCCUGUUUGGUGGGACAGAUAAUACUGGUGGGGCAACUGGAGCUACCUCGCUCUUCCCUGGGUGUGCUGCACCAGCUGUUGUGGGGUUUCUGCGCCGGCACACGAGAGCAGAGCUCAGAGUAACAACAGAGAAGUUGCCAGGGGCUGUCUGGGAGUCCAGUGGAUGUGUGUGCAGAGGAAGCAUGAGCCAUUGCACCAGCUAUUUGGCAGUUGAGGAGCACGUCUGCGGAAACCAGGCCUUCUCUGAAAUAUUUGGGGGACUGGUCCACCACUGCUGUGCUGAGAGGGGCAACGAGAGCAGUCCGGAAGACGCUUGCACAAUCCUUCCUGGCCCUGGCCAGGACUUGAAGUCCCUUGCUGUCCUGAGCACAGUAGAAAACUCUGCACACUGACAUUGCCUUGCAGAUAACUGGCUGGGAAAGGAUUUCUUCAGGGCUUACACUCCACCUCCACCCACACUUGCAGUCCCAGAGUCACCAAAGAAAGUUUAAAAAUAUUCUGCCAAAUGUUUGCUCAGUUAAAUUUUUUAGGCCUUUUUGCAUUUAACCCCUGUUUUGAUUCUUGAUUUUUUUUUCCCUGUCUUCCUUUAAUUAAAAAAAAAAGUUUAUCUUCUGGGGGAUGAUCCUCAGGAGCUGGAUGUGUAGGAG
This 917-nucleotide long non-coding RNA is filed under the name Anas zonorhyncha (Eastern spot-billed duck). RNAcentral's name for it is "lncRNA (ENSAZOG00000007695.1)". Lineage: Eukaryota; Metazoa; Chordata; Aves; Anseriformes; Anatidae. The record is from RNAcentral.